UAUUACUAAUCAUGUUAAAAAUUUUAAAUCAACAUUAUUAUUUUUCCCUUAAAUAAAAGAAGCCAUGAAACAUUGUUUUGUAACUACGGAAACGAAGUACAUAAUUUUAAAUUGUCAAACUUGACGAGUGAAAAGUUUAUUUGUGGCGUCUUUCCAAAGUGUUGAUUUUUUAACGUUUUAAAAAGCCAAAGUAACGUGUAAAAUGAUGAGUGAUGAUGACUGUUCCAUUUCUGAAACCCUCUCAGAACUCACGGAGGCAGUGAAUGCUGCAUCAUUGGAAUUGUUACCAAUAAAAUCUAGAAAUAAGUAUAACUAUGCAUACAACCGCUUCAUGGACUACCGUACGAAUAAAAAUGUAACUUCUUUCUCGGAAAAUGUUGUAAUGGCAUACUUCUUGGAGCUUGGUUCCAAGAUGAAUUCUUCAACUUUAUAGGCCAAUUAUUCAAUGCUGAAGGCAACCCUUGCAAUUAGACAUGAUGUGGAUAUAUCUGAAUAUUCAAAACUUCGGGCAUUCCUGAAACAACAAGCACAUGCCUAUAAGCCAAAAAAUCCAAGAUUUUAACUAAAGAAGAAAUAAACAAAUUUAUUCAGGAAGCUCCAGAUAAGGAAUAUUUAAUGAUUAAGGUAGCUGUAAUAUUUGGAAUUUCCGGAGCUUGCAGAAUGGACGAGCUGGUUAAAAUGACUGUACAAGAUAUACAAGACCUACUAUCUAAACUUUUAGUUACCAUACCGGAUUCAAAAACCAAUACAUCAAGAUCAUUUAUAGUAAUAGUUAUUGUCAUACAAAUAAAAUUAUUUGUUUGAAAAAUAUUCAACAAAAUAAUGCUAUUAGUUCCCAAGUUCUUCCAGUUUUCAAUACUUGUACUAAUUGUCAAAUAACAGUAAAUAUAACAAAUAAUAAGUAAUAAUUUUAAAAUAUAAUGUUAACCUUGUUUGUGCUGAAAGUUUUAAAAAUAAAAUUGUUUAGGAAAAA
This 973-nucleotide long non-coding RNA is filed under the name Anthonomus grandis grandis. Its description in RNAcentral is "uncharacterized LOC126745304". The record is from RNAcentral. Lineage: Eukaryota; Metazoa; Arthropoda; Insecta; Coleoptera; Curculionidae.